AACUCAACCAGGAGAGUAUAAAAUGUUUACUGAUGAGACUGGACGAAACCAAUAGGUUUAAAC
RNAcentral lists this non-coding RNA (63 nucleotides) under unclassified sequences. The record is from RNAcentral.